GUGGGGAAUCUUGCGCAAUGGGCGAAAGCCUGACGCAGCCAUGCCGCGUGAAUGAUGAAGGUCUUAGGAUUGUAAAAUUCUUUCACCGGGGACGAUAAUGACGGUACCCGGAGAAGAAGCCCCGGCUAACUUCGUGCCAGCAGCCGCGGUAAUACGAAGGGGGCUAGCGUUGCUCGGAAUUACUGGGCGUAAAGGGCGCGUAGGCGGACAGUUUAGUCAGAGGUGAAAGCCCAGGGCUCAACCUUGGAAUUGCCUUUGAUACUGGCUGUCUUGAGUACGGGAGAGGUGAGUGGAACUCCGAGUGUAGAGGUGAAAUUCGUAGAUAUUCGGAAGAACACCAGUGGCGAAGGCGACUCACUGGCCCGUUACUGACGCUGAGGCACGAAAGCGUGGGGAGCAAACAGGAUUAGAAACCCGUGUAGUCC
Molecule: ribosomal RNA, 425 nt
Filed under: uncultured bacterium
Lineage: Bacteria
Description: partial 16S ribosomal RNA
Rfam family: Bacterial small subunit ribosomal RNA
Source: RNAcentral